Molecule: long non-coding RNA, 508 nt
Organism: Carcharodon carcharias (great white shark)
Lineage: Eukaryota; Metazoa; Chordata; Chondrichthyes; Lamniformes; Lamnidae
Exons: 2
Source: RefSeq, a predicted model, not a curated record
CCGCGCCACCUGGCGGCCCAGAGGUCCGCACAUCCCGUCACCUGGCAGUCCGGAGGUCCGCACACCGCGUCACCUGGCGGCCGGGAGGACCCACCCUCGCUACCUGGCGGCCCGGAGGAUACACCCUCGCCGCCUGGCGGAAGACCGAAGAGUUUUCGACUCAAAGAUCUUACUGGCAAAAGGAGAAAGCAGGCUAUCCUGGAUAGAGGGGAUGGUGAUACUAACUCUGCCUGGAUUCAAGCCCCUAUGAUCUGUAACAGAAACCUAUUGAAAACCAUGGCAGGUUUCACGCCUGGAACACAGAGACAGAGAGACAGAAACAGCUGCUGCUGAAAAGAGCAGAGAAAAAGACUGCCUUUGUGUUAGCAACAAAGGACACUGGAAGACUUUACCUGGUGUAGCAGGGAGAAGGGAGCCUGCUGAAAAGCUGGGAGGAGCUUGGAACUUAAUCUUUAAGGCUACAUAUCUGUUGCAAGUGAUGUGUAAAAUAAAAACCUGUCAUAAAUGA